Molecule: long non-coding RNA, 4503 nt
Filed under: Marmota monax (woodchuck)
Lineage: Eukaryota; Metazoa; Chordata; Mammalia; Rodentia; Sciuridae
Rfam family: tRNA (bases 61-129)
Source: RNAcentral
AGUAUUUCCAGAUAAGACCAAUAAAAAUAAAUAAGGCCAAUAAAAAUAAAGAACAGGGCUGGAGUUGUAGCUUAGUGGUAGAACACUUGCCUCACAAGCAUGAGGCACUGAGUUGGAUCCUCAGCACCACAUAAAAAUAAAUAAAUAAAAAUACUGUGUCCAUCUGCAGCUAAAAAGAAAUAUAGAACAGACACCUAGUUAAAUUUGAAUUUCAGAUAAACAACAAAUAAUUUUUAUAAGUAUAUCCUAAAUAUUCCAUGGGAUAUACUUAUAUCAAAAAUAUCUGAUGCUUAUCUAUCUAAUUAGGUAUGUGUCCUUUAUUUGUAUUUACUAAAUUUGGCAACCCAUAAGGGAUGCCUUACUACUUCUGCAUCCCAGGGCCUUGGGAAUUUUUCUCUGUCUAGACCAUGGAAAUAACUAGCUUAUGCAUGUCCUGGAACUUAUGUGGGCUUCAAGGUCACAUUAGGAGACAAGCCUGUCUCUGAUGGCCUUUCAGUUUCUGGCUCAGCCUAGCAGUCAUCUUGUAAACAGCAGUCCACUUCACGCUUUGACUAUAACCCUUGCUGCUCUGAUACUGUGGCUUAUUUUUAAAUUAACAUUCCCCCCAUCCUUUUCCCUCUCCCCCUCCCUACCCACAGGGGAAGCAAGAUUAACCUUCCUGUACUAGGCUGAGUUAUCUGUCCUGCAGCUCACAAACCACAGGAAUGAAGAAAUCCAGACUUUGGGGCUGGCACCUACAGAUCUAAGAAACAGCUAUCUCUCAAGUCUACAAAUGAAUUAUAACUCCUGACAGGGUACAGCUGGAGUGUAGCCUUUGUAUCCCCUCUUUAAAAGCCCACUGUUCCCCCCAAUACUUACAAUCAUAGCCUCUGGGAGAGAAGCCCAUUUUUUUUUUCUUCUUUUGUACCAGGGAUUGAGUCCAGGGAUGCUUAGCCACUUAGCCACAUCCCCAGCCCUUUUUAUUUUUUUAUUUUGAGACAGGGUCUUGCUAAGUUGCUUAGGACCUCGCUAAAUUGUUGAAGCUGGUUUUGAACUUGCAAUCCUCAUACUUCAGCCUCCAGAGCCAUUGUGAUUACAGGUGUGCGCCACUGGGCCCAUCUAGAAGCCUACUUUACUAGCAAAGCAAUAAAGCUACUUUUUCCUUUUUCUCAAAAACCUUGUCCUUGUUAUUAGGUUGGCAUCAGGGACAAAGACUGAGCUUUCGAUAUCAAUCUAACCCAUGCUACUGUGGCCUUCCACAGUAGAUGGAUGAAUAGCUGUCACCUCUGAUCAUGAUCAUGUGACCUAACAAAGAGGGGAUCAAGGUUCUCUUUCUCUAGCCAGCAGCAUCUGCCAACGUGUCACAUCCUGGCCCUGUAGGUGGCCCAGAAGCCUGUAGCCAUCAUUCAGUCAGAACUUAUACCAAGGUCCAGUUCAGAGGGCUGUGGAGGAAAAGGGAGCUGGGCUCUGUCCUGAGCCUAUGCAGUGCAGAUCAUGGAAUUCAUUUGUUAAGAGGCUAGCUGUCAGGAAAUAGCAGCACCACAGCUUGGCUAGACCCCGCAGAGUUCAAGGAGUUUGCGUUCUAACCUCAUUUGGAUCAGACCACAUUGGAUCCUCACCAUUUCAUUGUCCCAUGAGCAAAGAUGAUAUUCCAGUUGCAUGAUGCAUGAUCUGAGACUGACAAUAGUUAAGUCUUCCCCUGUAGUCACAGAUCCUAACACAUGUGAGCACUGAGGCUUCACCCCUACUCAAAGGAAAGUGAUUAAGGAUGCUGGAACUCCAAGGAGCCAGUUGAUGCCCUGGGUGGAGUUUCUUGGUUUCCACGAUAGGGUACAGCCCUGAAGUCCUGCCAAAUGGGGUGGCAGACCUGUAAUCCUAGCAACUCUGGAGGCUGAGGCAGGAGGAUUGCAAGUUGGAAGCCAGACUCAGCAACUUACUGAGACCCUGUCUCAAAAUAAAAAAUAAAAAGAUCUGGGGUAUGGUUCAGUGGUUAAGCAUCCCUGGAUUCAAUCUCCAGUACCCAACAAGCAAAACAAAGAAUCAGGCUGAAAAGCCCUGCCCUGGCUACCUGCAAAAGACAGAAGGCCAGCAGUUCCUGUGUGCACAUCUGAUCUCUACCUGUCCCACAGGUGAAGUGGACAGCUGAAUCUUGAUGAGGACCUGCCUGGGGCAGCAGGACAGAGUGCUAUGAGAGCUGUGAGUGGGGAGGGAACCUGGAGUAACUGAGAGGAGGGCACCAAACCCACAUUCCUCCUGCUCCCCAAGGGGAACCCAGGCUUUCAGUGCUAAGUGCAAGAGCAGGUCAACCACAGCAGAGUCUGUGGAUGUUAAAUAGACUUUGAAGAGGAAACAGAGGAGUGCGCGGCAGAUAUUGCAGAGGUAAGAGUUGUAUGUGUUCAUUCCACAAAUAUUUCCUGAGCAUCCGCUACAUGCCAGACACCAUUCUAGAUACUAUGGAAUCUAGCAAUGAGCACUGAUGUCUCACAGACAGUCCUCUUGCUUGAGAGUUGACUGUUUUGACUCCAGCCAAUGUAAUGUAAAACCCAGACCCUUGACAAUCUUCCAAAAAAAGUAUUUUCUCACCAAACAUGGAGCAGAGGGUUAAUUUUACUGAAGAUUUACUGGGUCAUGAUGACAGGCAGUUGCUCCUCUCACAGCCUGGCUAUGAGGUCCUUCUCCCAAGUCUCUCUUGGCCAAGGGCAGGGGGGAAUCACCUCCCCUCCUCCAGCUCUAGCCCCCCUCCAGCAGUUUGCUUCACAGAGGUCUGGUGGUGUUCAAAGGGGAAAACAUUCCUCUCUUUGCUCUCUCACAGUUGGAGUCAGAAGGACACAGCUUCUUUCCCCCACACUCCUCCUUUCGGAUAUAAGGCCAUUGAUCAUAUCCCAUUUCUGCUUCUGGGGUGAAAUGAGUUCACACCUAAGAAUGGUUGUACCCAUAACAUUCUAGAACAAUGGAUUACAUCAAUCAGUGAUAGCACAGCUUCUACCUCACAGUGUUAGGUCAACCAGAAAACCAGGCUCCAUGUUUUAGACGGGUGGGGCGGGGGGAGUGUUGAGCUGCUGCCCUUUUAUUUUGGAUUGGAUAUACUUUAGCACCUCCUUCUCACUCUUUUGUUAAUAAAAUAAAACAAUAAACACACACUGCAAUAGAAGAACACUGACAGCCUGUGUUUAUGUGUUUAUGUUGCGUCUGUCUCUAAGAAGCUGCAACUGCUAUGUAGAUUUUCAACAAAAUGAGUUUUCCCUCAGUGUUGGGGGGUAUGAUAAUUAAGAACAAAACAAAACAAAAAAAGGAGGGCAGAUUCUUUCAAAAUAUGUCUUUUAAUUCUUGCUCUCUUCCUUUUUCUUUCCCUUUCUCUCCCCACUCCUCACCCCGCCACCCCUUAAAACAGGCAUUGACCUGCUUGUGGCCAUCUCUGACAAGGCCUAGACAGAGAAACCAGGUUCUGAAACUCUGUUCCCUGUAGGAAGAUUCCAUCAGAGUCAGCACACUGCUCUUUCCAUCAGUUGUUCCCAGUGGCUUUGUUCUUUUGCUCUGCUCUUCUCUCCCAGAAAAGGACCUCAGGGUGAGUAGAACCCCCUGAACACAGCACCUGGGGGAGGAACAUGUAAAUUAGGAGACUAAACUAGAGAACAGGAGAUGAAAGAAAACUAGAGAAUCUGUGUGAAUCUGGAAACAAUCCUCAUCUAUACAUUUUAAUCAGAAAUUCAGUCUUUUGGCUGAAAGUAACAGAAACACAUCUCUUAUUAGCUUGAGCCCCAAAGGAGAAGGUGUUGGCUCACAUAAGCUCACUAUGGAUACAGCAAGGAAGGAAUGACCAGGUUCAGGACCCAGCUGUCCUCUGAUGUGGCAGUAUCUAAUCUGACUUUAAAUGUGGAAAUGUGGAUACUAAUGCUACUUCUCAAAAUCCAGACUAAGGAAACAUACUGGAGGAUGUUACUUGAAGUAUUAUUUAUAGGGAAAAAUUAGGAAUAAUCUAAAUGUUCAUGUUUAAGCCAUGGCACAUUUUGUACUCUGAAAAUGUGGAAAUUGUUCAAAAGAAUGAAGUUAUAUACUAACUUAAACCCCUAAGACAUCUUGGUAAAUGAGAAAAGUAAUUUGUAGAAUGAUACAUACAAUAUGGUCUUGCUCAAGCAUCAGCAAAAACAAAAACAAAACCUUGAAAUAGUACUAGAUAUAUCUAUAUGUGUGCUUGCAACAUAUAUUUUUCUUUUCUUUCUUUGUACAGUGCUGGGGAUUGAACUCAAAGCUUUGUGUGUGUUAGGCCAGUGCUCUACCACUAAUCUAUAUAAUUAGACUUGUAUUUUAUUUUGAGACAGGGUCUCAUUUUGUUGCAUAGGCUGGUCUUGCACUUGAGAUCCUCCGCCUCAGUCUCCUGAAUAGCCAGGAUUAUAGGCCUAUGCCACUCCUCCUGCUUGCAAACAUAUCUUUCUAAAUGAAUGCAAUGCACAGAGAAAGGUCUGAAUUCACAGAUCUUCAUUUCCUCCAAACAGGUAAAUUUAAGGGGUUGGGAUUGAAGCAGAC